Molecule: unclassified non-coding RNA, 301 nt
Filed under: Hevea brasiliensis (rubber tree)
Lineage: Eukaryota; Viridiplantae; Streptophyta; Magnoliopsida; Malpighiales; Euphorbiaceae
Source: RNAcentral
AGCCUCUCCGGCUCCCGUGAAACAGACCGUGAGUUUACCAAUCUCAUUACCCAUCAAACCAAAAAUAAUAAAUAAAAUAAGUAUAUACCUCUAAUCAAAAGAAGAAGAAAAAAAAAAUAUUAAGCUUUAUUUGGGUAUGCACUGAAAUCACUUUCAGUGUAUUUCAUGUCCAGAUAGAGAUAGAGAAGGAAGCUCAAGAGUAGACAAGAAGAAGAAGAAUAAGAGGUGAAGCAUCCAGAGAGAGAGAGAGAGAGUCAGAGAGAGACGUUGACUUUGGGGUGGUGGGGGUUUGAAAUUAGAA